This 464-nucleotide ribosomal RNA is filed under the name uncultured bacterium. RNAcentral describes it as "partial 16S ribosomal RNA". It matches the Rfam family "Bacterial small subunit ribosomal RNA", at positions 27 to 505 of the family's 1533-position model. The record is from RNAcentral.
GGAUGAACGCUGGCGGCGUGCUUAACACAUGCAAGUCGAACGGAAAGGCUCCUGCUUGCAGGGGUACUCGAGUGGCGAACGGGUGAGUAACACGUGGGUGAUCUGCCCUGCACUUCGGGAUAAGCCUGGGAAACUGGGUCUAAUACCGGAUAGGACGAUGGUUUGGAUGCCAUUGUGGAAAGUUUUUCGGUGUGGGAUGAGCUCGCGGCCUAUCAGCUUGUUGGUGGGGUAAUGGCCUACCAAGGCGUCGACGGGUAGCCGGCCUGAGAGGGUGUACGGCCACAUUGGGACUGAGAUACGGCCCAGACUCCUACGGGAGGCAGCAGUGGGGAAUAUUGCACAAUGGGCGCAAGCCUGAUGCAGCGACGCCGCGUGGGGGAUGACGGCCUUCGGGUUGUAAACUCCUUUCGCUAGGGACGAAGCGCAAGUGACGGUACCUGGAGAAGAAGCACCGGCUAACUACG